CGGGACGGACGCACCUCUAGUGUGACAGUUGUCGUGCCAACGGCAUGCUGUUUAGCUACGUGCGGAUCGGAUAAGCGCUGAAAGCAUCUAAGUGCGAAGCCGACCCGAAGAUGAGGUUUCCCAUCCCACGUGGAGUAAGGCCCCUUGCUAGACGACAAGGUUGAUAGGCCGGAGCUGUAAACACCGCAAUGUGUUUAGGCGACCGGUACUAAUAGGCCGAGGACUUGAUUUU
Molecule: ribosomal RNA, 232 nt
Filed under: Actinomycetota bacterium
Lineage: Bacteria; Bacillati; Actinomycetota
Description: partial 23S ribosomal RNA
Rfam family: Bacterial large subunit ribosomal RNA
Source: RNAcentral